GACGAACGCUGGCGGCGUGCUUAACACAUGCAAGUCGAACGGAAAGGCCCUGCUUUUGUGGGGUGCUCGAGUGGCGAACGGGUGAGUAACACGUGAGUAACCUGCCCUUGACUUUGGGAUAACUUCAGGAAACUGGGGCUAAUACCGGAUAGGCGCUCCUGCUGCAUGGUGGGGGUUGGAAAGUUUCGGCGGUUGGGGAUGGACUCGCGGCUUAUCAGCUUGUUGGUGGGGUAGUGGCUUACCAAGGCUUUGACGGGUAGCCGGCCUGAGAGGGUGACCGGGCCCACUGGGGGAGAGAUACGGGCCACACUCCCCGGGGGGGGAGAGGGGGGGGAUAUUGCGAAAUGGGGGGGAGGCCUACACCGAGACGCCGCGGGGGGGGGAUGGGGCCUUGGGUGGUAAAACCCUUUUUGCCGUGACACAAAGGGGGUGGAGGGACAUGGGGAAAAAGAACCGGCCCAAUACGGG
This 468-nucleotide ribosomal RNA is filed under the name uncultured bacterium. RNAcentral describes it as "partial 16S ribosomal RNA". It matches the Rfam family "Bacterial small subunit ribosomal RNA", at positions 28 to 507 of the family's 1533-position model. The record is from RNAcentral.